Molecule: long non-coding RNA, 1766 nt
Organism: Tachysurus vachellii
Lineage: Eukaryota; Metazoa; Chordata; Actinopteri; Siluriformes; Bagridae
Exons: 4
Source: RefSeq, a predicted model, not a curated record
UAUCAUUUCUUUUAUUUUCAUGUAAUGGGGCAUUUAUGAUUGUUUGUGGUUCAUAUAAUAUCAUAACUGUGUCUGUGUCUAGUGAUAAAAUAAUUGUGCACGUCCCCUUUAAGAGUUUGUUAGUAAUACACUGUCUAAAAACGUGGCUUUGCCCAGCAGGUUAGUUCAUUUCUUUGUGAUUGGCCCUUGUCCUUCUUAUUCCCGCCUCUGCAGGUAUACUGAGAAUUCUGAUUGGAUGAAGGGGUGGAGUUUAGAACUGCAGAUCGGUGUGAGAGUUUAGUUAACGAUGUGACUGGGAGGAAUUCAUGGACCAGUUGGGACUUACCUCGGACGUGCUUUGGAGUAUCGUUGCUAUGGCGAUAAAGGAUCGUGCUGCUGUUCGGUAGAGGAGGGACUACAGAAAGAUCUACAGCUUCAGAGGAGGGAAUUUCGUGUUCCAGCCGCCUGGGAAGCCGUUCAGCCGACCAGAGUCCGCUCUUCCAGAACCAGAACCCAUGCAGGUGGAUCCUACUGGUCUCUCACUGUCAGAGCGUCAUGGAAGACUUACUCUAGGAUUGUGUCUAUACUGUGGAGCAUCGGGGCAUCCCAUCAUCUCAUGCCCCAUUUGCCCCCCACCACCACACCUGUCUCAGCUCUCCUCCAUUCAGGAUUAACUCAUUAAACCACAUAAGUCCGUCCCACACCACUGUAUUAUUAGAUAAAGUGCUGUGAUCUUAUAUGAUAAAACAUUUAAUAAGGUGUUAAUAUGAUCAAUUCUGCUCAUAAAACAUCUCAGUAAUUAGAAAUGAUAAAUUGAUUAAUCCGUACAGCCUAAACCACAGUCAUUAAACAUUGACUAAUCUAACAUUUAAAAGGUGAUAAACAUGUUCAGACAUGAGUAUUUAGGCACUUUUAAUAAACAAAAAAAACAAAAGUUUUAUGGCUUUUAACAGUUUAAAUGUUAUUUUAUUUUAGAACUUAUAGAACUUUUAGAACUGAUCUGCAGCUCCUCUGCUACGUCCACUGCCUCUGGUACCUCUGAAAACAGGAAAUUACAGCAAGAAAGAAAUUCAAUUACACCCACAUCUGCACACAUCUGCCCUAACCUCCUCUAUCAGGCUCUUUCAGUCUCUCUCUCUCUCUGUCUCUCUCUGUCUCUCUCUCACUCUCUGAGAAGUGAUGACUGCCAGAAAAAUCCCACCACAUGAGAGAGACAAUGUGUGUGAGUGUGUGAGUGUGUGUGGAGUGAAAGACUUUCAUCCAUGAAACUUUCCAGAGACAACUCGAGAUAUUUCUGAAUAGAAUUAGCCAAAAAAUGACUUUAUUGCACAUUAAAUUAGAAAGUUAUUGAACCCAGAAGUGUGAAUAUAAAACCAACUUUACCUCAGUGCAGACACCAAAGUUUCAAACAGCUGCAACAUGUUUUUGAAUAAAUAAAAUUAAUAGAAUAUAUAAAUUACAUAGAAAUGUCUAUACUUCUGCACAAAUAAAGACACUUCACUGUUCAGGUGGUCCCUCUGGACCCCCCUCAUCUCAGGGACCUCUGAAUCAUUCCAGAACGGGUUAAAUACAUUAAGGAAUGAUAAAAGUUCAACUGCCCGUCUGGUGAGCUGGUGUGCCAGGUUGGAUAAAUCCUGUGGUGGGUCAACAAGAGAGUAAAAUUACUAAUGUAUAAAACCUUUCAAAUAUCAGAUAUUACAGUUGUUAUACCUGUUAUUUAUAUAUAUAUACAGGGAGUUCAGAAUUAUUAGGGAAGUUGUAUUUUUGAGGAUUAAUUCUAUUAUUGA